This 549-nucleotide ribosomal RNA is filed under the name uncultured bacterium. RNAcentral describes it as "bacterial SSU rRNA". It matches the Rfam family "Bacterial small subunit ribosomal RNA", at positions 355 to 896 of the family's 1533-position model. The record is from RNAcentral.
UGGGGAAUAUUGCACAAUGGGCGCAAGCCUGAUGCAGCAAUGCCGCGUGUGUGAAGAAGGCCUUCGGGUUGUAAAGCACUUUCAGACGUGAGGAAAAGUUAAUAGUUAAUAACUGUUAACCCUGACGUUAACGUCAGAAGAAGCACCGGCUAACUCCGUGCCAGCAGCCGCGGUAAUACGGAGGGUGCAAGCGUUAAUCGGAAUUACUGGGCGUAAAGCGCGCGUAGGCGGUUAUUUAAGUCAGAUGUGAAAUCCCUGGGCUCAACCUAGGAACUGCAUUUGAUACUGGAUAACUAGAGUAUGGUAGAGGUGAGUGGAAUUUCAGGUGUAGCGGUGAAAUGCGUAGAGAUCUGAAGGAACAUCAGUGGCGAAGGCGACUCACUGGGCCAUUACUGACGCUGAGGUGCGAAAGCGUGGGUAGCAAACAGGAUUAGAUACCCUGGUAGACCACGCCCUAAACCAUGUCAACUAGGUGUAUGGGAGAUUAACUCUUGUGUAUCGAAGCUAACGCGAUAAGGUGACCGCCUGGGGAGUACGGUCGCAAGACUA